RNAcentral lists this unclassified non-coding RNA (332 nucleotides) under soil metagenome. RNAcentral describes it as "partial contains 5.8S ribosomal RNA, internal transcribed spacer 2, and large subunit ribosomal RNA". The stretch from base 1 to 120 matches the Rfam family "5.8S ribosomal RNA", at positions 35 to 154 of the family's 154-position model. The record is from RNAcentral.
GAUGAAGAACGUAGCGAAAUGCGAUAAGUAAUGUGAAUUGCAGAAUUCAGUGAAUCAUCGAAUCUUUGAACGCACCUUGCGCUCCUUGGUAUUCCGAGGAGCAUGCCUGUUUGAGCGUCAUUUCAACCAUCAAGCCCUAGGCUUGCGUUGGAGCCCUGCGGCUGCCGCAGGCUCCCAAAUCCAGUGGCGGGCUCGUCGUCGUACCGAGUGCAGUAAACAUCCUCGCUCAGGGAACGUGACGGGUUCUUGCCGUGAAACCCCCCACAUAUCAAGGUUGACCUCGGAUCAGGUAGGAAUACCCGCUGAACUUAAGCAUAUCAAUAAGCGGAGGA